RNAcentral lists this ribosomal RNA (802 nucleotides) under uncultured bacterium. Its description in RNAcentral is "bacterial SSU rRNA". It matches the Rfam family "Bacterial small subunit ribosomal RNA", at positions 8 to 796 of the family's 1533-position model. The record is from RNAcentral.
AGAGUUUGAUCCUGGCUCAGGACUAACGCUGGCGGCGUGCCUUACACAUGCAAGUCGAACGGAGAGCAAGAGCUUGCUCUUGUUUUUAGUGGCGAACGGGUGCGUAACACGUAGACAACCUGCCUCGGAGCUCGGGAUAACAGUUCGAAAGGACUGCUAAUACCGGAUAAUUUCCCCCACUCUGGUGGGGAGAGGAAAGGCGCCUCAAAGCGUCACUCUGAGAGGGGUCUGCGGUCUAUCAGCUUGUUGGGGGGGUAACGGCCCACCAAGGCUUUGACGGAUAGCUGGUCUGAGAGGAUGAUCAGCCACACUUGGACUGAGAUACGGCCAAGACUCCUACGGGAGGCAGCAGUGAGGAAUCUUCCGCAAUGGACGAAAGUCUGACGGAGCAACGCCGCGUGAGGGAAUGAAGGUUUUCGGACUGUAAACCUCUGUCGGAAGGAAAGAAAAUCCAGGGGAGGAAAUGCCCCUGGGCUGACGGUACCUUCAAAGGAAGCCACGGCUAACUACGUGCCAGCAGUCGCGGUAAUACGUAGGUGGCAAGCGUUGUCCGGAUUUACUGGGCGUAAAGAGGGUGUAGGCGGUUUGUUAAGUCGGUUGUGAAAGCCUGGAGCUCAACUCCAGAACUGCAGCCGAUACUGACAAGCUAGAGAGCAGGAGAGGGAAGGGGAAUUCCCGGUGUAGCGGUGAAAUGCACAGAUAUCGGGAGGAACACCAGUGGCGAAAGCGCCUUCCUGGACUGUUUCUGACGCUGGAGCCCGAAAGCUGGGGGAGCAAACGGGAUUAGAUACCCUGGUAGUCG